Molecule: small nuclear RNA, 106 nt
Organism: Ochotona curzoniae (black-lipped pika)
Lineage: Eukaryota; Metazoa; Chordata; Mammalia; Lagomorpha; Ochotonidae
Source: RefSeq, a predicted model, not a curated record
GUGCUCGUUUCGGCAGCAGAUAUACUAAAAUUGGGAUGAUACAGAAAAGAUUAUCAUAGCCCCUGCACAGGAUGAUACGCAAAUUCAUGAAGGGUUUCAUAUUUUU